RNAcentral lists this ribosomal RNA (570 nucleotides) under Triticum aestivum (bread wheat). Its description in RNAcentral is "partial small subunit ribosomal RNA". Lineage: Eukaryota; Viridiplantae; Streptophyta; Magnoliopsida; Poales; Poaceae. The record is from RNAcentral.
AUGGUUCGUCCUGAUUCGGAGGCGCCGGCGCCGAGCGUUGCCUACGGAGGCAGCGGAGGCGCCGCGGCUCCGGCGGGGACGAGGGCAGACUCGUCUUUCGAGACCAACGUGGUGAUCAUCCUGGCCGCGCUCUUCUUCGGGCUGCUCCUCAUAAUCGCACUCAACUCGCUGGCGCGGUGCGCGCUCCGGUACGUGGGGCGCGGGGCCGCGCCCGCUGCCGGCGAGGGGCGGGCGUCGGCGCGGGGCCGGGCGUCGGCGUGGGUGGCCUGCAGCGGCAGCGGCAUCAAGAGGCGCGUCCUCAGGGGCCUCCCCGUGGAGGUGUACGCCUGCGGGGAGGACAUCGACGACGUGUGCGCCAUAUGCCUGAGCGAGUUCGUGGACGGGGAGAAGGUGCGCGUGCUGCCGCUGUGCAGGCACGGCUUCCACGUCCGCUGCGUGGACGCCUGGCUGGUGUCCCACGGCUCCUGUCCCACAUGCCGGCGGCCGGUCAUCGAGAAGGGCGCCAGCGGCGUCGUCGACAGCCAGCGCCCUGCAGAGACGAACACGGUCAUCACCGUGGCGAUCGUGUGA